Long non-coding RNA from Astatotilapia calliptera (eastern happy), 1555 nucleotides. The record is from Ensembl. NCBI's taxonomy places the organism in Eukaryota, Metazoa, Chordata, Actinopteri, Cichliformes, Cichlidae.
UCUGAAUUAAAAUGGCACUUUGGUUGGCACAUAUACAGUUUCUGUUUUUCUGUCAACAAAUAUUAAUACAUUCUUAGUUCUCUUGUUUUCAUUUUUAACCCAUGAUUUUGCAUUUUUAUCAGGAUUCAAAGUCAUUUUUAUAACAUAAAGAAAUAUUAAAUAAAUACUAGAAAGCGAAAAUUUCAGAAGUGUGCCUAUGCCGCUGCUAAUCAGUGUAGUUUGCCAUUCAUACGGCUACAGAGAGCAAAACUCAGCAGAGCAGCCAUUCUCCACCAUGAAGUAUGGUAAAAACAAACACCGCUCGCGCAUCACAGAUGACAGCUUACAGUUUUGUGUAAAGAUGAGGUGACUUCAUACAGCCCCGAUUUGCAGACGCUGUGCACAGAGGUUCAUGAGCAGAAGUCCCAUUGUACCACGGCAGACCCAACAAUGUUUGCAUGAACAUGCUUUGAAGCACUACGUUAUGGACCACUUUUCACACAUGGUUGGUGUACCCACACAGCCGGCUGUAGCUUUUCAACUCACAGCCCAACACACAACAAAAAAAAAAAAAAAAAACAGCCGAGAGAGCACAGACUUUAUGCCCGUGGGUCCACCUCCCCUGCAGCGGCACUGCAGACCACGCCCUGCCACACACAUCAAACACGUAAAAUAAAUAUUUAUGCACUUUUGCAUUCACUUUUUGUUUUUUGUUAUUUUUACACAAUGUUCUGAAUGAUUAACAAUGGUCUACAGCCAAUCUUGUGUAUUAUUAUACAAACUUUGGUUGUAAGAUUCAGAUAACUAUUUAAUAAAAGGUAAAUAUUUUAUAUGAGAAUAAGAAAGAAAAGUAUAUCUUUGCGUCCCCCUUUCCCUGUUAAUGCCCUACCUGGCCCCCUGGCAAAAGCUUUGCUAGAUCCGCCCCUGCACAGUUACCAGCUGUCAGCUACACAAAAAAAGGAGCUUGGUGUUAGUUGUCUCUCAGAAACAGUUGAUAACUUUCCUUCAACUCAUUCAUGUCACCUAAAAGGUAAACCUGUUUCUCCAUCACCAGUUCAGCUCUGAUGAUUCAGUAAGGACAUCUCCUGGUUUCGAUCAGCCCUUUUUUACAGCUGUGGCUCCAGCAAACAUCAGCUGAUACUAGAAAUUAAAAUUUAAUGAAUUCUAACAACAGCUGAUCAAGCUUAACCAUGCUGCUGUUGUUUAGUACGGAGCCCCCCAGGGGACAUGGGAAAAAAAAAAUUAGGGAGGAAAAAAAAAAAUUAGGGAGGAAAAAAAGAAAAUUAGGGAGAAAAAAAAAUUAAGACGGACUUUUGCCAGAUCUCCAACCAAUGCGGCAGCUACUUAGUUGUAAUAUUACUCUUUCUGGGUCACAAAAUACACUUUUAAGAUAUUUUGAGGCGUGAAUGUAGUUGUGUAAACGUCAGAUACCUGCUCGGUUUACAAGACAUCACAUAUUUGCAAAAGAGCUCCGACGUUUUUGGAGAUCUGACACCCACUAGCUCGAAGCUAACGGGAGGUCGAGACCUACUACAGCCGGGAGGAACACCGCUUUCCCGGCACAUCGUGCCUCGAC